GAGCGGCGCUUUUGUCGCGGUUAUUGUUUAUCAGAAUACCAAAUUGUAACAUGACACCGAAACGAACGAUUUGACAGCAAAAAUCAGCGCUGAGGGUGUGUGAAGCGAGUUACAGAAUCGCAGGGCUGCCCUGCGAUUCUGUAACUCACUGUUAUUCCGUGAGUCCACUACGCAGUAACAGCGCUCCCUUCGUCACUGACGUAAUUUUUGGAAUCUCAUGGUAUUCUGUUAAGAAAUUUUACAUUACGUCUUGAUAAGUGGAGGGAGGUAACCUAGUGAGUUGUUGUCUAUUAAUAUCGUGACAAUUGACUCAUUUUAUUUUAUAAAAAGAGUUAAUUGUCAAAAUUUUCAUCAUACAUAAACAAAAUAUUUUUAAUAAAACAAAAUGGUUGACGACGAAUGAAGAAUAUUAACAAAAAGAUAAACUGAAAAUAUCUCAAAAAUGAUUUAUCUGAUGGAAAAUAAUAGAAUAGCGAGGAAAAUUAUUAAAACCCAUCUGGCAAUGGGGCCGCUUAAAGCACGAAACAAGUUAUACCUAACAUGUGGAUAUAUUGUAAAAAAUUUAAGAAUAUUAUCUUAACAAAAAGAUUAUUAUGUCUCGCUAAAAGUGAUUCUCUCAGCAAAUGGUCUAAGGAUUCAAAUUAAACAGGAUGGAUAGGUAUCUUCAAUUUUCAAAAUAUUACUAAAGCCAUCAGCGGUAGUUGUCAAGAAUGAGGAAGAAAAUGACCAAUUAUUG
Pieris napi is the source of this 736-nucleotide long non-coding RNA. RefSeq lists it as uncharacterized. The transcript has 3 exons. Lineage: Eukaryota; Metazoa; Arthropoda; Insecta; Lepidoptera; Pieridae. The record is from RefSeq and is a predicted model, not a curated record.